UUAAACACCGGUUCUUGUACGAUCACUGAAGUUAAGCAACAUCAAGCAUGGUCAGUACCUAGAUGGGUGACUGCUUGGAAGUACCAGGUGCUGG
This 94-nucleotide ribosomal RNA is filed under the name Acanthosepion pharaonis. The record is from RNAcentral. Lineage: Eukaryota; Metazoa; Mollusca; Cephalopoda; Sepiida; Sepiidae.